Molecule: long non-coding RNA, 175 nt
Organism: Anguilla rostrata (American eel)
Lineage: Eukaryota; Metazoa; Chordata; Actinopteri; Anguilliformes; Anguillidae
Exons: 2
Source: RefSeq, a predicted model, not a curated record
GCCACACUAUCCUCUUUAAAAGGGAAAAAAAUUACAAGAUGAGGAUCCCAUUGCUGUAUGUCCCUAUCUGUCUCAUAGGAACUCUCUUUUGGUACUUUGUGUAUUGCUCUCAGGUGGAUUUUUGAUGAAUCACUUGUUAUUCAUUAUUUUGUGUACAAUCCUUAAAAAAAAGAAG